UCAACCUGAACUCAGUCGUGGCUACCCGCUGAACUUAAGCAUAUCAUUUAGCGGAGGAAAAGAAACUAAAAAGGAUUCCCCUAGUAACGGCGAGUGAAAAGGGAAAAGCCCAGCGCUGAAUCGCUCACCCUUUGGAUGCUGUGAAAUGUAGCGUAUAGGUGCGGCUUUCUAGCUGCGUUGCGUGUCCGAAGUCCUUGCGAUUGAGGCCAUUUGCCAGAGAGGGUGCGAGUCCC
This 233-nucleotide ribosomal RNA is filed under the name Caenorhabditis sp. 8 KK-2011. Its description in RNAcentral is "partial 28S ribosomal RNA". It matches the Rfam family "Eukaryotic large subunit ribosomal RNA", at positions 1 to 222 of the family's 3401-position model. Lineage: Eukaryota; Metazoa; Nematoda; Chromadorea; Rhabditida; Rhabditidae. The record is from RNAcentral.